RNAcentral lists this ribosomal RNA (765 nucleotides) under uncultured bacterium. RNAcentral describes it as "bacterial SSU rRNA". It matches the Rfam family "Bacterial small subunit ribosomal RNA", at positions 625 to 1390 of the family's 1533-position model. The record is from RNAcentral.
GCAUGAUACUGUUUGGCUGGAGUGAUGGAGGGGGAACCGGAAUUCUUGGUGUAGCAGUGAAAUGCGUAGAUAUCAAGAAGAAGACUCGUGGCGAAGGCGGGUUCCUGGACAUUCACUGACGCUGAGGUACGAAGGCUAGGGUAGCGAAAGGGAUUAGAUACCCCUGUAGUCCUAGCAGUAAACGGUGCACGCUUGGUGUGCGGGGAAUCGACCCCCUGCGUGCCGGAGCUAACGCGUUAAGCGUGCCGCCUGGGGAGUACGGUCGCAAGAUUAAAACUCAAAGAAAUUGACGGGGACCCGCACAAGCGGUGGAGUAUGUGGCUUAAUUCGAUGCAACGCGAAGAACCUUACCAAGGCUUGACAUCCUGAGACCGACUGUGAAAGCAGUUUUUCUAUUCGUAGACUCAGAGACAGGUGCUGCAUGGCCGUCGUCAGCUCGUGUCGUGAGAUGUUUGGUUAAGUCCAGCAACGAGCGCAACCCCUGCUGCCAGUUACCAUCAUUAAGUUGGGGACUCUGGCGGGACUGCCCAGAUCAACUGGGGAGGAAGGUGGGGACGACGUCAGGUCAGUAUGGCCCUUACGCCUUGGGCUGCACACGUACUACAAUGCCCAGUACAGAGGGAAGCAAGCAAGUGAUUGCAAGCAGAUCCCGAAAAGUGGGCUCAGUUCGGGAUUGGAGGCUGCAACUCGCCUCCAUGAAGCCGGAAUCGCUAGUAAUGGCGCAUCAGCUACGGCGCGUGAAUACGUUCCCGGGUCUGUACACAC